GAUGAACGCUGGCGGCGUGCCUAAUACAUGCAAGUCGAGCGAACGGACGAGAAGCUUGCUUCUCUGAUGUUAGCGGCGGACGGGUGAGUAACACGUGGAUAACCUACCUAUAAGACUGGGAUAACUUCGGGAAACCGGAGCUAAUACCGGAUAAUAUUUUGAACCGCAUGGUUCAAAAGUGAAAGACGGUCUUGCUGUCACUUAUCGAUGGAUCCGCGCUGCAUUAGCUAGUUGGUAAGGUAACGGCUUACCAAGGCAACGAUGCAUAGCCGACCUGAGAGGGUGAUCGGCCACACUGGAACGGAGACACGGUCCAGACUCCUACGGGAGGCAGCAGUAGGGAAUCUGCCGCAAUGGGCGAAAGCCUGACGGAGCAACGCCGCGUGAGUGAUGAAGGUCUUCGGAUCGUAAAACUCUGUUAUUAGGGAAGAACAUAUGUGUAAGUAACUGUGCACAUCUUGACGGUACCUAAUCAGAAAGCCACGGCUAACUACGUG
Molecule: ribosomal RNA, 497 nt
Filed under: uncultured bacterium
Lineage: Bacteria
Description: partial 16S ribosomal RNA
Rfam family: Bacterial small subunit ribosomal RNA
Source: RNAcentral